Molecule: long non-coding RNA, 898 nt
Organism: Myotis davidii
Lineage: Eukaryota; Metazoa; Chordata; Mammalia; Chiroptera; Vespertilionidae
Exons: 2
Source: RefSeq, a predicted model, not a curated record
GACCCCGGGCUGCUCGGCGUUUCCUCCUCCCGCCCUCCAGCUCUCCCCGCCUCGCGCCGCCUCUCCGGGUCCCUGUGCCCACUCAUCUCCCCCACGCGGCCCUCGGUUCUGACCCUGUUAGGGGUUCAAUCCCGGCCCGGCCGCCGAGUAGCCGAGGACCUGGAGUAAGUUCUUCCCUUCCCCGGGCCGCUCCCGUCGGGGCGGGUCGGGGGGACGGCAGGGCCCCUCCCGGGACUGGGGGCGCCCUCACCCGCACACGGGUGUUCGCGCCUAUGAACGGCUGCCGCCGCCCGGACUCUGGGCCAGCACCUCCCACCGGCGGGUCGGUGGCACCUCUGUUCCCAUCGUGUCCCUCGGAACGGACACUAUUACCCUCCGCGCCGAGGAGGAAGGGGGGACGGAGACCUGGUCCCAGCCCCGACUCAGUCCCGAGCCCCCAGCAUCCGUGCCCUUCCGCGCUGCCACGGUUUCUUCCCGAAGGUUAACGCCUGGCAGGAAGAUGACCUGUUUGACGCCAGGAAACCAUUUCUGCUGACAUCCUGUUCCCACUGCGGCCUGGCCCUGGAGCUUCUCCCGACGUGAACGGGAGAGCGCAGCGGGGGCUGACCGCGGAUGUGAAGCCGGUCUCAGGACGGCUCGCCAGGGCGGGAGGACGGGCGUCCCGCUCUGUGGUGCUUCCCCCCAAAGUGCCAAGAAUAUUUGUCAAUGGGACUUUCAUUGGAGGGACACCGACACCCACGGGCUCCACCAGGGCGGGAAACUGCUUCCACUGGUUCAUCGGUGUUAUUUAAAAAAAGCAACAAGCAUUUCGGCGACAGUGUUUGAGGAUGUCUCACUAUGUGAACAGUCUUCGUGAAAACGUUAAAAUGAUGAACAAUACAUCGCUGUGGAGACCUCA